AGGGUUUGAUCAUGGCUCAGGAUGAACGCUAGCGGCAGGCUUAACACAUGCAAGUCGAGGGGUAACAGGGAUUGCUUGCAAUCCGCUGACGACCGGCGCACGGGUGCGUAACGCGUAUGCAACCUACCUUCUACAGGGGAAUAGUCAAUAGAAAUGUUGAAUAAUACCCCAUACGAUCUUUGAAUAGCAUUAUUUAGAGAAGAAAGUUCCGGCGGUAGAAGAUGGGCAUGCGUCCUAUUAGUUAGUUGGAGAGGUAACGGCUCCCCAAGACAUCGAUAGGUAGGGGUCCUGAGAGGGAGACCCCCCACACUGGUACUGAGACACGGACCAGACUCCUACGGGAGGCAGCAGUGAGGAAUAUUGGACAAUGGAGGCAACUCUGAUCCAGCCAUGCCGCGUGCAGGAAGACUGCCCUAUGGGUUGUAAACUGCUUUUAUACAGGAAGAAAUGUACCUACGUGUAGGUAUUUGACGGUACUGUACGAAUAAGGAUCGGCUAACUCCGUGCCAGCAGCCGCGG
RNAcentral lists this ribosomal RNA (519 nucleotides) under uncultured bacterium. RNAcentral describes it as "bacterial SSU rRNA". It matches the Rfam family "Bacterial small subunit ribosomal RNA", at positions 8 to 520 of the family's 1533-position model. The record is from RNAcentral.